RNAcentral lists this transfer RNA (67 nucleotides) under Xenograpsus testudinatus. RNAcentral's name for it is "tRNA-Asn". Lineage: Eukaryota; Metazoa; Arthropoda; Malacostraca; Decapoda; Xenograpsidae. The record is from RNAcentral.
UUGGUAGAAACCAAAAUAGAGGUAUAUCACUGUUAAUGAUAAAAUUGAAUAAUUAUUUCCUUCCAAG